Molecule: non-coding RNA, 1299 nt
Organism: Vicugna pacos (alpaca)
Lineage: Eukaryota; Metazoa; Chordata; Mammalia; Artiodactyla; Camelidae
Source: RefSeq, a predicted model, not a curated record
UGGAAAGCAGUCCUUUUUUGCCUCAUGAAGAAAGUUAAUCUUUGGAAUAAAGGCAGAUUAUGUAUAAAGACUCUUUUGAUCUCUUUCCAAGGUGGAGGCCACCAGUGUUUCGGAUUCCAUCAAAGUGGCAGCCCUUGAGAACAUACCACAGGCCCCCGAGAACAAGGAGAAAACUCUCCUAUCAGAAAAAGACAAGUGCAUCUCCCCUUGUCCUUCCUCAUGACACAGGGAGGAAGCAAUGCCCAAAGGAUGUCAUGUCUUAGAUUUCAAGCCAAGCCACUGAAACCAAGUAAAGAUGAAGAAAGAGAAGUUUCUGUUUGUACACCUAUGUCCUUGUCACUCACCACCGUUCAGCUGAUGGGAAAGAGAGGCCACCGGAAGGAAAGGCAAGUUCAUCAAGGGCUGGCAAAAUAUUAAUCUGGGAGCUCACGGAUGGGCAGCGAUGCGCGCUCCCCGGCAGCAGGCGUUCCGUUCCUGUUCAGGCUACCUGUGGGCUGCGAGAGCCCACCACCCCACCCUUGCACCGUGGCCACACCGUGACCCGCCAUUCAUCCCCUGCUCCAGACCGACUCCCAGACUGCUUUCCAAGACAGGGCUUGGGAGGGGAGCAGAGAGACAGAAAGUGGGCUGGAGGAGAGGAGAGAGAGCUCUGACUCGGCAGACCACCCUUUCCUCUAAAAAGAUGCUUUCCAUCCCACUAGUUGGAUGGUUUUUAACCACGACUGUGCACAGAAUUGCGGAGAAGCUUUAAAAAAUUAUACUGGGGCUCUACCCGCCUUUGGUUAUGAUUCAGUUUUUUCUGGGGUAAGCCUUGAACAUGGGUAUUUUUAAAUAGCUCUUCAAUGAUGCUGAUACAUAGCCAGACUUGAGAACCAUUGUCCCACUUGGAAAACCCACCUGGAGUGUCCCCUCCCGCCCUCUUACCUUACAGGAUGUGUUUGAUCUGCCACAGUGCUCCUUGCGAUUGGCUGAUGUUAGGAUUUCCCACAGGGCUUUUUAAAAAUGAGGAUGUCUGGAACCAGCCCCCAGAAUUUCUGAUUUAAUUGGCUGGAAGUGGGCCACAGGCGUCAAAGAUAUACCUCCACAAGCUUAUAAUUCCAUACAUACAGGAUUACUCACUGCGGCGUAAUUUGUAAUCAUGAAGACUGGGGACAACCCAAAUGAUGAUCUGUGAGAUUCAUUAAAUAAACUCUGGUCCAACUUCAGCCUAGAAUAGUAUGCAUCUGUUCAAAAAGAAUGAGAAAGAUUCUCUGCACUGAUAUGGAAAGACCACUACGAUAUAUAAAAAGGAAAAAAAAA